GCCGGAGUGGCGGAAUAGGUAGACGCAUCGGACUUAAAAUCCGAUGUCCUAAUAGGGCGUGCCGGUUCGAGUCCGGCCUCUGGUACCA
This 88-nucleotide transfer RNA is filed under the name Candidatus Cloacimonadota bacterium. Its description in RNAcentral is "tRNA-Leu". It matches the Rfam family "tRNA". Rfam says of the family: Transfer RNA (tRNA) molecules are approximately 80 nucleotides in length. Their secondary structure includes four short double-helical elements and three loops (D, anti-codon, and T loops). Lineage: Bacteria; Pseudomonadati; Candidatus Cloacimonadota. The record is from RNAcentral.